RNAcentral lists this ribosomal RNA (253 nucleotides) under uncultured bacterium. RNAcentral describes it as "partial 16S ribosomal RNA". It matches the Rfam family "Bacterial small subunit ribosomal RNA", at positions 524 to 776 of the family's 1533-position model. The record is from RNAcentral.
UACGUAGGGGGCGAGCGUUGUCCGGAGUUACUGGGCGUAAAGCGCACGCAGGCGGUCCGUUAAGUUUGGAGUGACAGUUGGUGGCUCAACCACCAAAGUGCUUUGAAAACUGGCAGACUUGAGGGCUUCAGAGGGACACGGAAUUCCGGGUGGAGUGGUGAAAUGCGUAGAGAUCCGGAGGAACACCGAAGGCGAAGGCAGUGUCCUGGGGAGUUCCUGACGCUGAGGCACGAAGGCCAGGGGAGCAAACGGG